This 254-nucleotide ribosomal RNA is filed under the name uncultured bacterium. RNAcentral describes it as "partial 16S ribosomal RNA". It matches the Rfam family "Bacterial small subunit ribosomal RNA", at positions 524 to 776 of the family's 1533-position model. The record is from RNAcentral.
UACGAAGGGGGGCUAGCGUUGCUCGGAAUUACUGGGCGUAAAGCGCACGUAGGCGGCUUGUUAAGUCAGGGGUGAAAUCCUGGAGCUCAACUCCAGAACUGCCUUUGAUACUGGCGAGCUUGAGUUCGGGAGAGGUGAGUGGAACUGCGAGUGUAGAGGUGAAAUUCGUAGAUAUUCGCAAGAACACCAGUGGCGAAGGCGGCUCACUGGCCCGAUACUGACGCUGAGGUGCGAAAGCGUGGGGAGCAAACAGG